AACCAAUCGUAUAAAUUUACAACCACUUUAUUCUCCAGGGGUAGAUUCCAAAUCAACUCCAGCGAAACAGUCCAAGAAAUUGGAAAUAAAAUUUAUAAAUUUUCCUCGUAUACAAUUAAGUACAUGGUUUUUUGCAGUUCUGUUGGAAUAUCACCCUGUCGUGUGAUUCUGGUAGUGGAUGCGGACUCCUUUGAAGUCCAAGUCCAUCAAAAAACUGACAACUCCACGAUUAGCACACCCUGCAUUGUAGGGACGGAAUCUGGAAUACAAUCCAAUGGCUAUCUUUACAGCUAAGUUAGCUGUUAGCUGAGCUAACACGAUCACUCGAUGAAUCCAGAUAUCGUCACUGUUCGUGUACAACAUACCAGGUCAAGAAGUGUCACGUUUCACAAAAUACCAAGUUAAAAGUUUGUAGUUUCAAUAAAUACCAAGUCAUUUUUGGGGA
This is a long non-coding RNA of Folsomia candida, 445 nucleotides long. RefSeq lists it as uncharacterized. Lineage: Eukaryota; Metazoa; Arthropoda; Collembola; Entomobryomorpha; Isotomidae. The record is from RefSeq and is a predicted model, not a curated record. The transcript is spliced from 2 exons.